UUCCCCUAGUAACUGCGAGUGAAGCGGGAAAAGCUCAAAUUUAAAAUCUGGCGGUCUCUGGCCGUCCGAGUUGUAAUCUAGAGAAGUGUUGCCCGCGCUGGACCGUGUACAAGUCUCCUGGAAUGGAGCGUCAUAGAGGGUGAGAAUCCCGUCUCUGACACGGACUACCAGGGCUUUGUGGUACGCUCUCAAAGAGUCGAGUUGUUUGGGAAUGCAGCUCAAAAUGGGUGGUAAAUUCCAUCUAAAGCUAAAUAUUGGCGAGAGACCGAUAGCGAACAAGUACCGUGAGGGAAAGAUGAAAAGAACUUUGGAAAGAGAGUUAAACAGUACGUGAAAUUGCUGAAAGGGAAACGCUUGAAGUCAGUCGCGUUGGCCGGGGAUCAGCCUCGCUUUUGCGUGGUGUACUUUCCGGUCGACGGGUCAGCAUCAAUUUUGACUGCUGGAAAAAGGCUUGAGGAAUGUGGCAGCUCCGGCUGUGUUAUAGCUUCUUGUCACAUACAGCGGUUGGGAUUGAGGAAUUCAGCACGCCGCAAGGCCGGGUUUCGACCACGUUCGUGCUUAGGAUGCUGGCAUAAUGGCUUUAAGCGACCCGUCUUGAAACACGGACCAAGGAGUCUAACAUGCCUGCGAGUGUUUGGGUGGAAAACCC
RNAcentral lists this ribosomal RNA (649 nucleotides) under Leucocoprinus brebissonii. Its description in RNAcentral is "eukaryotic LSU rRNA". It matches the Rfam family "Eukaryotic large subunit ribosomal RNA", at positions 75 to 709 of the family's 3401-position model. The record is from RNAcentral. Lineage: Eukaryota; Fungi; Basidiomycota; Agaricomycetes; Agaricales; Agaricaceae.